RNAcentral lists this long non-coding RNA (2861 nucleotides) under Brassica napus (rape). RNAcentral's name for it is "long non-coding RNA (BNAP_LNC019539)". The record is from RNAcentral. Lineage: Eukaryota; Viridiplantae; Streptophyta; Magnoliopsida; Brassicales; Brassicaceae.
GGAUAUGUUUUAGGAUUUUGAAUUUGGGGGCACAAUUAUUAUAUUUGAUGUUUUAAUAUUUGUUAUUAGUGUUAGAUUAACGUUUUACAUAUUAUUUAUUGUAUUAUCUUUUAAUGUUUAUGAUUAAAUAUUAGAAAAUUAGAGUUUAGGGUAUGAGUAGGGUUUAAAUUUUCCACAAAUAGCCACAAACUAUAUUGUGUCUAUAUAUAUAUUUCUAUGAUUAUUUUUGUGGCUGAUAGUAGAUGUUGAUUUCCACAAUAUUUUAUGUGGCUAAUUGUGACUUAUUUUCUUCGGAUAGCUACAAAAUGUAAUUUGCAGCUAAUUAGCAACAUAUAUCUACAGAAUAGCUACGAAUUUUGGUUUUUAAAAACUGUUGCUAAUUUUGUGGCUUUUUGUGGCUUGAAAAAUAUAGUCACAAAAUUUUUGUAGCUAAUUCGUAGCUAUAUACAUAUUUUCUUGUAGUGAUAUUACUAAAGAUCUCUUCCAAUUAUCGAUGUGGGACCUUUGCCCCUAAUACGCCCCCUCGAGAUGAUUGCUCUUUAAGCGUCAAUCUCGGAAUGUUCGGGCAAGGAUCGAGGGCCAACUUUGGACCGGAUCGAUGUGAAUCAGGUUGGACUGCGUGGAUCGGGCUCUGAUACCAUGUUAAGCUAGAUGGACUGUCAUCACAUUAGGCUUUAUGAUGGCUUUACAAAUUUACAAUUCUAUUUGAGUUUGGUGUUUUUACGCAUUAUUAUACAUUGACAGUUCAUUUAGAUAAUCCGAGCUUUAUAAUUCGAGAAGUAAAUAAUUUAUUUUGCAUCUACUUCAUAUGUCAACACAUCGAAAUAUUUGGAAAAUAUUACCAAGUCAAAAUUCAAAUGUUUGAUUACUGAACAAUGAUCACAACUCUAUUUAGUAAAAGAAAUUCCUAAAUUAAAGAAAUUCCACUUAGUUCAGAGGGAGGAAGGACACAUAUAUAAAACUCUAAUCUCAAUUUAACAUUUUAUCAAAAGAAAAAAAAAAUACUCCAAUCUCAGUGCAUUUGCUGCAUAAUUAUUUGCAACUUGCAAGUCACCUUUGCACUUAGAAAGAGGUAAAUGAAAAAAAUAAACUCCUUUUCCAAUAGAAAAAGAAAAAAUAACGUGAAAUUGCAUGUUUACCACUUUCUUGCUACCACUUUUCAUUUUUACCACUUUUAAAGGAACAUUUUCAAAAAUACAUUCUUCAUUAAGUGGCAAAAGACUUUUAUGCUCUUGUUCUUUAUAUAUAUAUUAAAUAAAUAUUUUAAAAAAUAAAAAUCUAAAAAAAUAAAAAUAAUUUUUUUAAUUUUCUUUCUAAUUAUACUAUUUCGAAAUUAAAACCUUAAACCUUAAAACUCAACUCUAAACCCUAAACCAUCAAUCCUAAACCCUAUUUUUUUUUGAAAUACGAACCAUAAACCCUAAACCAUCAAUCGUAAACCCAAUUUUUUUUUAAAUACGAACCCUAAACCCUGAAACAUCAACUCUAAACCCUAAACCCCGAAACAUCAACUCUAAACCCUAAACCCCGAAACAUCAACUCUAAACCCUAAACCCCGAAACAUCAACUCUAAACCCUAAACCCCGAAACAUCAACUCUAAACCCUAAACCUUCAAUUCUAAACCCUAAAACAUCAACUCUAAACCGUAAACCGUAAACUUCAACUCUAAACCCUAAACCAUCAACACUAAAUCCUAAACUAUCAACACUAAACCCUAAACCCUAAAAAGUAAACUCUAAACCCUAAACCCUAAAAAAUAACCCUAAACCCUAAAACAGCAACUCUAAACCCUAAACCCUAAACCUUCAACUCUAAACCCUAAAUCCUAAACCCUAAAACCCUAGAGUUGAUGUUUUAGGGUUUAGAUUUGAAGGUUUAGGGUUUUAAGGUUAAGGGCUUACGUUUAGGGUUUAGAGUUGAUGUUUUACGGUUUAGAUUUGAAGGUUUAGGGUUUUAGGGUUUAGGGUUCGAAUUUCAGAAAAAUAUAGGGUUUAGGGUUUACGUUUAGGGUUUAGAGUUGAUGUUUUAGGGUUUAGAUUUGAAGGUUUAGGGUUUAGAGUUGAUGUUUCGGGGUUUAAGGUUUAGAGUUGAUGUUUCAUGGUUUAGGGUUUAGAGUUGAUGAUUCAGGGUUUAGAGUUGAUGUUUUAAGUUUAGAUUAAUUUAGGGUUUAGAGUUGAUAUUUCAGGGUUUAGGAUUUAGAGUUGAUGUUUCAUGGUUUAGGGUUUAGAGUUGAUGAUUUAGGGUUUAAAGUUGAUGUUUUAAGUUUAGAUUUAGGGUUUAGGGUUUUCGUUUAGGGUUUAGAGUUGAUGUUUUAGGGUUUAGAUUUGAAGGUUUAGGGUUUAGAGUUGAUGUUUCGGGGUUUAAGGUUUAGAGUUGAUGUUUCAUGGUUUAGGGUUUAGAGUUGAUGAUUCAGGGUUUAGAGUUGAUGUUUUAAGUUUAGAUUAGUUAACCAUAUGUUUUUUUUGUCAAAGUUAAUCAAAAGGUUAUAAAUGUCUUUCACCCUUCAUUAAAGAUUGAGGUAAAAGUGAUUAGUGUAAACAUGAAAAACGAUACUUUGAAAAUAGUAUUUUUGGCAAUUUCCCAAAAAAUAACUAACUAAAAUGUAAAACUCCUUAUCAAUCAAGAAAAAAAUAAAUUCAAUAAAAAGAUAAGUUGAAAUAGGGGGAGAAGAGCUGAAGAGGUAAGGCUCGAAGCUUAAAGUGAUGUUUCCGUAUCAAUCUCAAUCUCAAUCUCUCUCCACACCUCCAACGCCAUUUGAACUUUAACAAAACCUAACUUUUUCUUCAUGCUUAUAAAUACACAUACCUCCCACUUCUUCACUUUCAUAUUACAAAAGCCCCCUUAAUUAAAAACAGCAAAU